This 1230-nucleotide long non-coding RNA is filed under the name Piliocolobus tephrosceles (Ugandan red Colobus). Its description in RNAcentral is "lncRNA (ENSPTEG00000018031.1)". Lineage: Eukaryota; Metazoa; Chordata; Mammalia; Primates; Cercopithecidae. The record is from RNAcentral.
AUGAUGUUGAAUUUUUUAAUUUUUUUAAAAAAAAGCAAAUGUAAUUGUUUAAAAACGCAGCUAAUAAAAUUUAGUUCUUGUCAUAUUAACUUAAACAACAUAAAAAAGGAAAGAACAAUUUUUGAAAAAUUAUUACAUAUAGGUAAUUACAUAAAUAAAUAUGUAACAGAUGACACAAAUAACAUCAGUGAUAAUGAGAGUAAUAAUAUCCAUAGUGGUAGUGAUAAUGAAGUGGUAAAAAGUUAUAGUCACAAUCCCGAUAAGUUAAUAUAUGGAAGUGUUGUUAUGAACAAAGAUGUAUUAAAAAAAUAUAGCCAAUAUAUUGAGAAUGAUUAUGAAGAGUUAAAAAGGAAAGUUAAAAAAGAGAUAAAUAAAAUAAAUGGCGAAUGUAAUAGUAGUGAUGAAUAUAGUAAAAACAGCAAUAAAUAUAAUUCUUACUUAUACGAUUGUAUAAUAAAAAACGAAUAUAAUGAUUUAUUAAUUGCUGAUGUUAUUUAUGAAAAUAAAAAAAAGAUUUUAUGUUUGGGGGAAGCCAAUUUAUCUUUUAGUGCUUUAUUACAAAAGAAGUUACCCUUAUGUGAAAUAGUUGGUACAUCGUUAGAAGAUAAAAAAAUAUUAAUACAAACAUAUGGUAAUAUAUUUAAUAAAAAUUUAAAAAAAUUAGAGUCAUGUGGAGGAAUAUAUAUUCCUAAUGUUGACGUUGAAACGUUGGAUAAACAAUUAGCUAGUACUGUUUUUGACGUUAUUAUUUUCAAUUUUCCGUUUGUUUUACCUACUGAGGAAUUUAUUCGAGAAAAAUGGAAGGGUUGUUUAGAUGGAGUAGAUAACAAAAGUAAUAAUAAUGGAAAUAAUAACUACAUAAAAUUUUAUCGAAAAGCAGAAUAUUACUUAACAAAUAAACUGUUGUACCAUCUAUUCAAGUGUUCAUCCACUUUACUUAAAAAUAAUGGAUAUUUACAUAUAAGAAUUACAGAUAAAUAUUUAACCUGUAAUUUUAAAAAUUCGUUUAAUUUAAAAUUUUUACAGAAAAUUAAUUUUUAUAAUGCAUAUCCAAUUUAUGAGUCUCAAAAAUAUAUACCAGCCAUGUACAACACAGCUAUUACUAAUACUGACAUUGCACAGAAUAAUAAAAAAACAAAAAAAAAAAUUAUUAUGUACACUUCAAAAGGCAUUACAUAUAAAAAAUUCAAAAUGAAAAACACAUCAACGUUGGUUUUUCAGAAGAGUUAA